This is an RNA transcript of Lepidothrix coronata (blue-crowned manakin), 5700 nucleotides long. It is a transcript of the gene named spermatogenesis associated 22, with no coding region annotated. Lineage: Eukaryota; Metazoa; Chordata; Aves; Passeriformes; Pipridae. The record is from RefSeq and is a predicted model, not a curated record. The transcript has 23 exons.
ACAAGCUGAAAAACGUAUGUAAUAAUAACAUGUAAAUGAAACUAAGCCUAGCUUUAAGGUCAUGAAGGUACGUGUUUGUGUGUAUAUAUAUAGUGUAUAGAACUGCAAUGUGGCUCUCCAGAGCCUUCCAAGGCUGAAGAAAAAGCAUUACAACACAGGCUCCAAGCACGCCAAGCACUAAGGUUUUACACAGUUGAAACCAGCCACGUGUAAAAGCCAGAACAGUGGUUGAAGAGGAAAACAACGUGAAACUGUGGAUAAUUUUAUUUACAUCCACGUCUGUGUUCACACAUUUGUGGGGAUUCAGCUCCUGCCCCUGUUCUCUUAGGCUGACGCUGGACACCACGUGGGCCAGUUUACAGGUGGUAAUUAAGCCCCACCGAGGACUGAUUUAGUGAUUUAAUGGUUCCUGGGAACCUCGCUCCUCGCCCCAGCCCGGGCCGGGGGGUUCCCUCAGCGGGGCUCCCGCAGCGCCUUCCCGCCAUUUUCGCACCGCCUGAGCGCGGCCGAGUGUCCGUUAUUUUUGGCGGGCUUCGCCUCAGGGCUGACCCUCACCCCUGUCCCUCAUCCUUGUCCCUCAGGGCUGACCCUCAGCCCACUCCCUCAGGGCUGACCCUCACCCCUGUCCCUCAGCCCACUCCCUCAGGGCUGACCUUCACCCCUGUCCCUCAGCCCACUCCCUCAGGGCUGACCCUCACCCCUGUCCCUCCGCCCGGUCCCUCAGGGCUGACCCUCACUCCACACCCUCAGGCUCGCCCAACGCCGUCAGAACCCUCAGCCCGCGGCCGGCGCUGCCCCUCCGUGUGAGGCACUGCCGAGGGUCGCCCUGCUCUGCCUGAGCUUACUGUUUUUCUACAGCUUUUUCUCUGGGUUUUAGUUGCUUAUCUUCAGAAGAGGCCAGAAAACAACACGCUCUAAGCUCCUAUGCGGUGCAAAAGCUCUCUAUAAACUGAAAUCGAAUCUGGAGUAAUCAAUACAUCGUUGCCUGUUAAGACUCAGCGAAGAAAUGAAAAGGAGUUUUGGUGACACCUCAACUCGCAGCACAGCAGGUUGUCUGCCUGUACCACUGUUCAAUCAGAAAAAAAGAACUAGACAGCCCCUCACUUCAAAUCCAAUUAAAAAUGAGCCAGGUGCCGGUUCUGGGACUCGUACAUAUGACUUCUCUCCCACAUCAUUUGGCUGGGGAACUGCAAACCCAGAAGUGGCUGAACUGCAGAAAGCAGCAAACAGUGGCCAAACAGGACAUCAGAUGGCUCCUUCCCUCAUGAAACCACCAAAUGCAUCAAAGUUUAAUUUAGCAAAUGCUGGAAAAAACUUGGCUGCCUGCAGGAACAGAAAUGAGUAUACUCUGAGUAACACAGCAGAUUCAAGGUCUGAUGGUGGAAUUACUCGAAAGUUUGGGAACCUUUCAAAUAAUUGGAAAACUGUCCAGCAGCAAAAACCCCCUGGUAACCGUAAUUCAUCUCAGCUCCUCAAAACAGAAACCAGCCAGACAAACACAGCUAAAGGACAGUGGCCAGUGAAACCUAACCCUGCACCAAGAAGUCUGCAGGGUCAUAGUCCAGCAUAUAGAUUUAACUACAAUAUUCAGCAAAAUAAAAUGAAUGAAAACCAAAUUGAUUUUGUCCCAGAAGAAAAAAGUCAGGAAGUUCCAUCAUCUCAAAUAAAAAUUAGAGACAAAAGGAAUUCUUUGCGAAUCCUGUCUGCAGUCAUUGAAAGUCUGAGGCACUGGAGUCAAUAUUCUUACAAAACUGCACUGUUAUUUGAAGUCUUAGGCACACUGGAUUCUGCAGUCACACCUGGAGCUUAUGGGGCAAAGAACUUUCUCCUGAGAGAUGGAAAGGAGACCCUGCCUUGUGUGUUUUAUGAAAUUGCACAAGGUGAUGCUGCAGGAGCCAGUGAAGGGAAAAGUCCUUCCCAGCACAAGGAACAUCCCCAGCACAUCUCACACUCCCUGAUCCUCAACCAGCUGCACCUGCUGGAGGUGCCCAGGACAGGAGGGAGCCCACAGACCUGGACACUGAGUUCUUGGCAGCUGUGUUUCUGCAUCUAGGGUCUGACAUUACCCAAACAUGCAGAAGCUGAAGCUAAAUACAAAGAAUGUUUGAGUCUGCAUCACCUGAGUUCUCACACGUGGUGUUUGUUGUUGCUGAGUCCUCAUCACCUGAGUCCUCCCCAGUAACUCCCAGCCACUGCUGACUGCAGGGCAGCCCAAAGGCAAGUCCAGCACAGUGGGUCAACAGAAGUUCUUGUGGCUGUCAGAGCGACGUGCCAGGACUCUCAUUUGGGAUUGUGUCCAGUUCCUACUCCCUUGGCAACACGUGAAGUACCACCUCCCACAGGAGAGUGCAGGCUGAUCGAUAGGAGUCUGAGGAAUCAAUAUGGAUGUGGAUGACGGUGCUGUUUGCCAUUCAGAGCCUGCACACGCUGGGAAAAACAGGGCACCAUCGAUCCCAAAGAGCCAGACGCAGCAGGAAUGUGUCCCCCCGCCACAGGCAAAGGUGAUGUUUCCACCUCUGCCAACGGGAUGGCACUGGCAGCGAGCUCGUCCCUGUACCAUCAGGGCCACGUGCCAGCCCAGCCAGGGGCACAGUGUGGCCAGGGAUGGUGAGAGGACCCAUGACCCUCCUCCUCCAGCACCCAGCUCGUGGCAGCAAUCAAAGAACAUGAGGGCACCUUGGCCUCAGCACUGCGGCAGCCACGUCAACUCCUGUCAUUUCACAGCAAAUUCCAUGGAAUGUUUCUGGCUUUGGUUUUCCUUAAUUGUGGUAGCACAAAUCCCCUAAAAACUCACAACUCCUGCUGGAAACAACCGAUGAGCCGCUUGGGCUGCUAAUCCCCACGGAGAGGUGUGAAGAUGUUUUUCAGGACAAAGUGACAUGAAAAAGGGUACAAACAGGAUGGGUGCAGGGCUUCAGCUGGGAACUGUUCCAAGUGCUCCUGCCCUGUCCUGGAGUCACACCUGCAGGUCAAACAGCCGCUUUUGAAGGAAAAUAACAAGGCUUAAGUUUGAAGAAGUCCAUGGAGCAAAGGAUUUGGUUGAUGGGGACCUGCCCACACCACAGCACGCACAGAGGUACCUCUUCCCAGCCCAAAUUUAGCUGCUUGUGCGCAAAAUUCAGCACCACCUGCACCAGGACACAGCUCAGCCAGUUCCAGCCUUCCAGGAAACUUUCCCGCUUUCCAGCUAAUCAGAGCCUGCACUAGAAGAGGAGUGACAGAUUUUCCAAAUAUCUUCCCAUCUCCAUGAGCAAUCUCCUGAUUCACUGGGAUCAGGGCUGCUGUGUAACUACUCUGCAAACCUGACCUGAGCAGGCAAACCUCAGAUGACAUCGGGGACCCAGGGCUGGACUGACACGGCGAGAAACCAGCAAUGAAGGUUUAUGAAACCCUUCAGCAUUUCCCAGUGAAAGGGACUGAACGGCUCCCCCAGCCCUUCAACAAAUCGGCACAUUUGAGCAGGGAAACCGCUGGAAACGUGCACGUUUCAGGAAACAAAAAGAACAACGUUCCCCAGGGACGGACACCCCGGCUGUGGGCUGUGCCCACCCCGUGUGCUGCAGGGACCGUGAUGGGAUUUAAGCAACCACAGGCAGACCCGGUGUCCUGGGAGAGAUAACAGCGCAGCUCCACGGCAGGCUGAGCACCCCAGCUGCUGACACCCUUUGUGCCAGGCACAGCCACGACCUCUUGGGGAUGCUGCCCUGUAUUGUGAUCUGGAGGAAGUCCAAGCUUGUGUGUUCUGAGCAGCAGCAGUGAAAUCGCACUCACGACCUCGGGGUUUCUCCAAAGUCUUGGGGGCAGAGUGGGGAGAGAGCGAGGCAAAGCGGCUGCCCGGGAGCCUGCGCUUACUUUAGGUGUAAAAGCUGCGCCUCCCAGUGCAGAUGGAUUUUUACAACAGUCAUUCUGAAACUUCAUGGAUCAGGUUUUAUUCCUUCUAAACCUCCUGGUCGCUGUCGCUGUGCAGCAGGAAUUGAUGUCUUGUCCUUACGCCUCGCAGAUCUGACGGGGUUUUCUCGACCUCCAGAAGCUCAGCUGUCCCCCCGAGCGGACUCACGUCCAUCAGCCGCAAGCCAAAAAAGCCAAAUCCUUUCUUAAUAUAGCAAAAAAUAUCUUUAUCCCGCCCGAACGUCCUCAGCCGUGUUUGAGGCACUUAACCGCCGACACCGCUGAAACAGUUAAAGUAUUUAGGACACCGUAGAAUGGCCAAGAACUUGGGAAAAACAAGGCGGAUUGGAGAAAGGUCAUCUGAGGCUGGGACUGGGAGAAUUCCCUUCUUUGAAAUCCCCAGCAGAGUUGAGAAGCCGGUACCAACCCUCCUGUUCCCAUGGACUGAGGUCAGCCACAUCCAAAUUUGCUGGGAAUUCUGUAUGUGCAUGCAGACACUUGUUUUCCCAUUUAAAAAAAAAAUAAAAAGGAGAAAAAUAUAAGUCUGUAAUUGAAGCUGCUGAGACUGCAGUUUCGGAGCAGCCCUGCUGUGAUGUAUCAGUUCCUUCUUCUUCAUUUUCCAGCUUCCCCAGCAUCCUGUUGUGCACAAAUAUAUGUCUGUGCUGCAUCUUUCCCACUCUUCCCCACCACUUAUUCUUGGAUUCUUAGUGAUUAUGCCUGUAUUGCUUAUUUUGCAAGAUGUCUGAUUAUUUGUUUGAAAUAAUAUUGUAUUAUUUUUUAACAGUUCCAAUGGCAAUGUUUGGAAUAUAUGGGUUUUAAGCUCUAGUGUGUUUCUGUACAAAGGCAUUUUUGACUCCUUAUAUAUUUUGGGCAUUAUUACUGAUUCCAGAGUAAGAUCUCGGCUGUUAAAGCCCUUAGUCAUACAGUUUUUAUUAUUUGUAUUCCCAAAGUAGUGAGAAGUCUAAAUGUGAGAGAGAAUCUCAGCAUCAUGUGAAUACAUGUAAACAAAUGGACUGUCCCACAGAUGUGAGAAAUGGGAAUGGCCUCUAACACGAUUUGUUACAUUUGUGUUUUUGUGCUGUAACUGAGCAGGGCAGUUCCCCGUGAUUAAUUACCCACGUCAAAGACGCCAAAGUCUUGUUCUGCUUUAUUAGUUCUGUCCAAACAAGAUUGCUCCAUUUAGAUCUUAUUAAAGUUUGUUUAUUUUUCUAGCUGUGGAGAGGGAAAAAUCACCAGGCAGGGAGGCUUUUUAUUUGAAUAUUUUAAUUCAGGGAGGAGUCCCUCAGCUUCUCUGACAUUGGCCAACCCAUGUCCUGAAGUCAUGUUUCAGCUGAUUGCUCAGACAAUUAAACUCUCACGUGCUAUUAAAGACUCCGGAACCUGCUGUCACUCACUCUUCCAGUUCAGAUCUCCAGUGACCAACAGCAGAUUGGAGCUUCAGCCCUUCUCCACAUUCCCAGAAAAGGGAGAAAAUUUUAAUCCAGGAAAGGUAAUUCAUGUCAGACCCUCAUAUCUUGAGGUUUCCUCAGUUAUCCAGAAUCUGAUGCAAAGAAAAUUGAAUUAUCCCCAAGACUCUGACAGGUUGGAUGAGGUUUUUGGAAAAGGAGCUGCUGCUUGAAAAUGAGUUGCAACAUAGAAGGUUACAUAGAAGGUUUUCCUCACCAAGUGGGGUGAGCAAUGCCUGCAAUUCACCCACCGAAAAGGAUGUAAAUCACUGCAUUCUUCUUCAACCCAGCAUUGAAAUCCAAGAGGAGUGGGUGCAAAUUUCUUUGACAGAGGCUGUUAAUUCAGUGUUCCCUGAGUCAUCCCAUU